This 422-nucleotide ribosomal RNA is filed under the name uncultured bacterium. RNAcentral's name for it is "bacterial SSU rRNA". It matches the Rfam family "Bacterial small subunit ribosomal RNA", at positions 355 to 774 of the family's 1533-position model. The record is from RNAcentral.
UGGGGAAUAUUGGUCAAUGGGCGAGAGCCUGAACCAGCCAAGUCGCGUGCAGGAAGAAUGUCCUAUGGAUUGUAAACUGCUUUUGCAGGGGAAUAAAGUGAGCCACGUGUGGUUUUUUGUAUGUACUCUGCGAAUAAGGAUCGGCUAACUCCGUGCCAGCAGCCGCGGUAAUACGGAGGAUCCGAGCGUUAUCCGGAUUUAUUGGGUAUAAAGGGUGCGUAGGCGGGAUAAUAAGUCAGUGGUGAAAGUUUGCAGCUUAACUGUAAAAUUGCCGUUAAAACUGUUAUUCUUGAGAGUAGAUAAGGUAGGCGGAAUGUGUUGUGUAGCGGUGAAAUGCAUAGAUAUAACACAGAACCCCGAUUGCGAAGGCAGCUUACCGGGCUACAUCUGACGCUGAUGCACGAAAGCGUGGGGAUCAAACA